Molecule: long non-coding RNA, 971 nt
Organism: Nicotiana attenuata
Lineage: Eukaryota; Viridiplantae; Streptophyta; Magnoliopsida; Solanales; Solanaceae
Exons: 7
Source: RefSeq, a predicted model, not a curated record
AAUAGAUGAUUGUGCAUAUUAAUUUUAUUUUUCUUUUGAGUUAUAAUUUUCCACCAACCAGCAAGUGUAAAUGAAUUUUCUUUAAUUGAUUAGAAGAAUACGUUUUAAUCUGCAAUUAUACUUAGUUGUGAAUACCUGUUAAUUUCAGGAAGUGAUAGCAGUGUACCCGAAGUUGUCAACCUCAACGGUAUCUAUUAAGGAGUUAACUCGAGUGUGUAAUGCCCUUGCUUUGUUUCAGUGUAUGGGAAAUCACCAAGAAACAAGAAGGGAGCUCAUAAAAGCUAAAAUACCAUUUUAUUUUUACCCAUUUCUCAAGACCAAUGGAAAAAAUGGAAAUGACAAGCCUUUGGAGUUUAUCAGGCUCACCAGCUUGGGUGUUAUCGGUUCCCUAACAAAGUUUGAUGAUCCAUACGGUGGUGAGAUCCUUUAUUUUUUCCUGGAAACAGAACUGGUUCCUUUGUGCCUGCAUUGCAUGGAUCUAGGUGAUGAAUUGUCGCGUUGCAACACUCAUAGUUAUGAAGAUUUUGAUGCAAGAGGAAGGACUAAGCUAUUGCUGUGCUUGAACGGUUUUACUCAAUAGUACAGGUCUUGCAUCGAGUAGUACAGAAACUUUCUCAAAAACCCUGUAUACUGCUGCUAAGAUAUGUGAUACAAUCUUAUCUGUGUCUUUCACAAGUAUCAAGGUUCGUCGGGCCAUCUGAUGCAUUCAGAAGCCAAAUUCCUUGUCAGCUAUUUGACAACACCUUUAUGGACAUGCUUCGUCAGGAUGACCCCGAAACUUCAACGAUGUUGCAGCAGCUAUAUGUCCAUAUAAUGCGCUGAUCAAGACAGUAAUAAGAUUGUAAACAUGGAUACAACAAUUCAAUAGACUAGGGAAGAACUGAACUUGUUCUAAAGGAACUUCUUAGAUUCCAAAUGAGGGAUAAAAUGUUUUUGAGUUAACAAUUCAACAGGAAAUGCUUCUUGCAUAA